This 200-nucleotide unclassified non-coding RNA is filed under the name Hypocreales sp. RNAcentral's name for it is "partial internal transcribed spacer 2". Lineage: Eukaryota; Fungi; Ascomycota; Sordariomycetes; Hypocreales. The record is from RNAcentral.
UUAAGUUCAGCGGGUAUUCCUACCUGAUCUGAGGUCGACCUUGUAAAAGUUGGGGGUUUUACGGCGGGCCGCACCGCUCUCCGCCUGCGAGGUGGUUUUAGUACUACGCAGGGGAGGCUACAGCGUGGUCGCCACUGGAUUUAGGGGACGGCCGCCCGGUAAAGGGUGUGGCCGAUCCCCAACACCGCCCCCGACAGAAG